UAAGGAAUAUUGCACAAUGGGGGAAACCCUGAUGCAGCAACGCCGCGUGAGUGAUGAAGGCCUUCGGGUUGUAAAACUCUUUUCUGAGGGAUGAGGAAGGACAGUACCUUAGGAAUAAGUCUCGGCUAACUACGUGCCAGCAGCCGCGGUAAAACGUAGGAGGCGAGCGUUAUCCGGAUUUACUGGGCGUAAAGGGCAAGUAGGCGGUGGUCAAAGUUGGGCGUGACAGAUCCUGGCUUAACUGGGAGAGGUCGUUCAAAACUAGAGCACUAGAGUGCAAGAGAGGUGAGCGGAAUUCGUAGUGUAGCGGUGGAAUGCACAGAUAUUAGGAAGAACACCAGUGGCGAAGGCGGCUUACUGGGCUGCACCUGACGCUGAAGGACGAAAGCUAGGGGAGC
Molecule: ribosomal RNA, 398 nt
Filed under: uncultured bacterium
Lineage: Bacteria
Description: bacterial SSU rRNA
Rfam family: Bacterial small subunit ribosomal RNA
Source: RNAcentral